Molecule: ribosomal RNA, 466 nt
Filed under: uncultured bacterium
Lineage: Bacteria
Description: partial 16S ribosomal RNA
Rfam family: Bacterial small subunit ribosomal RNA
Source: RNAcentral
GAUGAACGCUGGCGGCGUGCCUAACACAUGCAAGUCGAACGGUGAAAGAGAGCUUGCUCUCUGGAUCAGUGGCGAACGGGUGAGUAACACGUGAGCAAUCUGCCCCUGACUCUGGGAUAAGCGCUGGAAACGGCGUCUAAUACCGGAUACGAGCUGCGAAGGCAUCUUCAGCAGCUGGAAAGAACUUCGGUCAGGGAUGAGCUCGCGGCCUAUCAGCUAGUUGGUGAGGUAACGGCUCACCAAGGCGUCGACGGGUAGCCGGCCUGAGAGGGUGACCGGCCACACUGGGACUGAGACACGGCCCAGACUCCUACGGGAGGCAGCAGUGGGGAAUAUUGCACAAUGGGCGAAAGCCUGAUGCAGCAACGCCGCGUGAGGGACGACGGCCUUCGGGUUGUAAACCUCUUUUAGCAGGGAAGAAGCGAAAGUGACGGUACCUGCAGAAAAAGCACCGGCUAACUACGUG